UACCAGCACCCCGAGUGGUCGGGACGUUUAUUGGGCCUAAAGCAUCCGUAGCCGGUUCUACAAGUCUUCCGUUAAAUCCAGCUGCUUAACAGAUGGGCUGCGGAAGAUACUAUGGAGCUAGGAGGCGGGAGAGGCAAGCGGUACUCGAUGGGUAGGGGUAAAAUCCGUUGAUCCAUUGAAGACCACCAGUGGCGAAGGCGGCUUGCCAGAACGCGCUCGACGGUGAGGGAUGAAAGCUGGGGGAGCGAACGGG
Molecule: ribosomal RNA, 253 nt
Filed under: uncultured bacterium
Lineage: Bacteria
Description: partial 16S ribosomal RNA
Rfam family: Archaeal small subunit ribosomal RNA
Source: RNAcentral